AUUGAACGCUGGCGGCAUGCUUUACACAUGCAAGUCGAACGGUAACAGGCCUUCGGGUGCUGACGAGUGGCGAACGGGUGGGUAAUGCAUCGGAACGUGCCCAAUCGUGGGGGAUAACGUAGCGAAAGUUACGCUAAUACCGCAUAAGCCCUGAGGGGGAAAGCAGGGGAUCGCAAGACCUUGCGCGAAUGGAGCGGCCGAUGUCAGAUUAGCUAGUUGGUGGGGUAAAGGCCUACCAAGGCGACGAUCUGUAGCGGGUCUGAGAGGAUGGCCAGCCACACUGGAACUGAGACACGGUCCAGACUCCUACGGGAGGCAGCAGUGGGGAAUAUUGGACAAUGGGGCGAACCCUGAUCCACGCAAUGCGCGUGUGUGACGAAGG
This 382-nucleotide ribosomal RNA is filed under the name uncultured bacterium. RNAcentral describes it as "bacterial SSU rRNA". It matches the Rfam family "Bacterial small subunit ribosomal RNA", at positions 29 to 414 of the family's 1533-position model. The record is from RNAcentral.